CCUACGGGGGGCUGCAGUGGGGAAUAUUGCGCAAUGGGCGAAAGCCUGACGCAGCGACGCCGCGUGGGUGAUGAAGGCCUUCGGGUUGUAAAGCCCUGUCGGGUGGAACGAACGAUCUGGCGGCGAAUAACCGCCGGGUGUGACGGUACCACCGAAGGAAGCCCCGGCUAACUACGUGCCAGCAGCCGCGGUAAGACGUAGGGGGCGAGCGUUGUUCGGAUUUACUGGGGGUACUGCGCGCGUAGGCGGCGAACACCCUCGGCUUAACCGAGGUCCCGCUGCCGAUACUGUCUGGCUCGAGUCUAGGAGAGGAAAGCGGAAUUCCCAGUGUAGCGGUGAAAUGCGUAGAGAUUGGGAGGAACACCGGUGGCGAAGGCGGCUUUCCGGACUAGUACUGACGCUGAGGCGCGAAAGCGAGGGGAGCGAACGGGAUUAGAUACCCAUGUAGUC
Molecule: ribosomal RNA, 450 nt
Filed under: uncultured bacterium
Lineage: Bacteria
Description: partial 16S ribosomal RNA
Rfam family: Bacterial small subunit ribosomal RNA
Source: RNAcentral